GUUAGACAAGGUAAGCGCCCGUGCGGUGACGUUCGCCGGCUGGGAUCCGCCAAGGACGUCCRUGGGGGAUGGACACACGCCGUGUCGGGCCCUAACCCACCCUUCCCUCGGCAGCUUGGCAUCACCAACGUCACCUUCCACGACGAGCAGCUGGAGGAGGAGAUCAAGGACCGAUUCAGCACGCCUCUGAUCAUCACCAUCAUCACCCUGGCCGGCUCCCUGCUGCUYGUCGCUGCCAUCUACGGCUGCUGCCACCAGCGCUUCUCCCACAAGAAGGACCAGCGCCUGACCGAGGAGCUGCAGACCAUGGAGAACGGCUACCACGACAACCCCACGCUGGAGGUGAUGGAGACCUCCUCGGAGAUGCAGGAGAAGAAGGUGAACCUCAACGGGGAGCUGGGCGACAGCUGGAUCGUUCCUCUGGACACGCUCAUGAAAGACGACCUGGAGGAAGAGGAGGACACGCAUUUAUAGGACGCGGGACUCGGGCGAGCAGGAAAAACAACCCCUGGAAACCCUGUAACCCCACCUGUACGCACACACCACCCCAAAAGAAAGCAAACCCCCCCCUGCAAACCCCCCCAAAUCCCCUAGGAGCUCCUCACAGCCAUGCAGGGCACAGGACGGAGAGGGAGGCGGGCGAGGAGAUGCCACCGCGGCGGGCGCGUGUCCCAGCCCCACGGCGAGGAGCUGGAGCAUCGCUUGCUCCCCUGACUUUUUUGGGGAUGCUUUGGCCCUUUGCGGGCUCCGGCUCCCGGGAAGCCUUUGGGCAGCGCUCCCUGCUCCCGGCGGGCUUUGCUCUCCCCUCUCCGCAGGCUCCCGCCCUUGCAAAGCCCACGGAGCAACGCAGCCCCCACAGCUACGCCGGCGCCACUCCGUCAGCCGGCGGAAAGGGCCCUUUUCCCCAAUUUUUGAAGCCCAGCAUUGGAAAAGCAACAAAAAAAGUCCCCCAGCACCUUCACCCGGACAAGCCGGGGGCAGGAGGUGCUGGACGCCCCCGCCACGGGGCCGGGCUGCCGGGAGAUGCCAGUGGCCGUGGGGACAGUGAGCCGCACUAAUCCUCCGCCACGUGUCCCCUGGCAAAGCGCCCGGGCUCCCGCAGCCCCCUUCCCUUUCCGGAGCCCUUGGAGACGGCCCCAAAACUGCCGGCUGGAAUGCACAAGGGCCGCGGCGGUUCGUGCCAUAAGCGGACGCGGAUGCCCAGGUCCYGCUGGAUCCGAGGGCCCCGGCUGCUCGGCGGUUUCCGCAGCAGCUUUCCGCUUCGAGGUGGACGAGAGCGAGAGAAGAAGUCGCGCCCRGCCCUCGUCCUUCCUGGGGAGCUUCAGAAACGAGACCGGAAGCGAAGCGCGAGGUUGGGAUCGUUGCAACGAGGUUCAGCCCCAGCGCGCGGCGUUCCCGCUGGACCCGGCCCAGGAACCGCAGCGGCUUUGAUACCUGGUGCACGUCCUCCCUCCCUGGACACCGGGGGCUACGUGUCCUGCAACGUCCCGGCCUGGUAGGGACUUCCGUGGUCGCAUUUUCCCUCGCAAGCGGUGGAAAAGAUGGAAGAAUCGGGUACGGGCGAGCGGGAACCAGGUAGCUUGAGGACGUUUUGGGUUUUUCCAUCAGUCCAGCCCACGGUGGUUCCUUCCCGUGAGGUUCAUCGGCUCAGUUGGCGUCCUCAAGCUUUCCUUCCGAAGCAACCAAAACCGCAGAGACCCGCAAAGAAACGUGCGGUUGGGCGGCGAAGCUGGGAACGAACUUUGUCCCUCCGCCCUCGGGCCGUUUUCUUUCUUUUUUAAGGUCUCCCAUGGCAGUAAGUCUCUUCCUUCAGGUGCCGCAGGUGGAUGAAGGCGACGGAGAUCAGACCCGCAGCGGGGACGAAGCAGAGCGGGAAGCUCGGGGAAAGCCGGGUCUUGCCCGGCCGCCGCAAUAUUUAUGGGUGAAGGGGUUGGGGCAGUUUUGUCUCCACCGGGCGAAGAUGCCGCUCGCAGAGGACAGGGUUKGAGGCGCUCAAACCCAUCUAUUUUUGUAUGUAAAUAUUAAGCGCCGUUCGUUAGCCACGUGCUCGGCCCACGUCACUUAGCUGUGCGCUGCACUAGGGGGAAGCGAUUCUGGAGGGGGGGAAAAAAAGUGAAAAAAAUAAAAAAAAAAAACAAGUAAAAAGAGAUAGAGAA
RNAcentral lists this long non-coding RNA (2156 nucleotides) under Apteryx rowi (Okarito brown kiwi). RNAcentral describes it as "lncRNA (ENSARWG00000001106.1)". The record is from RNAcentral. Lineage: Eukaryota; Metazoa; Chordata; Aves; Apterygiformes; Apterygidae.